GUCACCCACUCCCCUUCACUUCUCUCAAGUCUCCUGGUUUAUUUUUUCAAACUCAAGCAGAUUUUGCCCUCUGCUCUAUUAAUCUGUUUUCAUGUUAAAAAAAAAUGUGUUAAAUGACUUGCCAAUCCAAUGACUGAUCCACUCUCAUUCUCCACCCCAAGUUGCUGAGUCUGUAGAGCCUGGGGGACAUCCUCUUUGGCUCCAUCUACCCCCAGUCCUGCAGGGGUGUGAGCCCCGGGCAGGGAUGUCCAGGUCAGCCCCGCGCAAGGCGGGCAGGUGACCUCAAGGUUGGGAAGAAAACAUGCACAGUAGCCCAUUUCUGUGAAGGACUUGGAGCUUGGAAGAGACACCCAAUCCUCUAUCUGUAGCCCGCCCUCCGCUUGGAAUGAAGACCACAGCUGUGUCCUGAGCCUCGAGGCUGGCCUCACAGGCCCAGAAGAAAGGUGGUGUUUCCCCUGGUGUCUCUCAAGCAUGAAGCUGUUUUGGAGCGGGAGUCUCCACGUCUGCAUCAGGCUGCCUGGCGAGCGGGAGGAAUUUGAACACAGCCUGGGUUCCCGCACGCAGUUCAUGACUGCAAAGGGCUUCCUCUUCGAAAUCCAGCCCAAAUGGGCACACUCAAGAAAUGCGGCAGCUUCAGAGAACGUGACCCAGUUAAGUCCCUUCUACUGGUUCUUCCUUCAGCCUCACCUUCUCCAUCAGGGGUGGCCGGCUUUCCAGGGCUUGCCUGACAACAAUCAGCUCUGCUCACAGCACCCCAGGCGGGGCUGAACAGAGACCCUUUGUAGUAUUUGCUGGAAAAGCAAGAGGAAACUUCAGCCAAGGACCAGCUUCUUCUCCCCCUUAUGUAAGAGUUAGUGUUGCUCAUGCCAGUGAAGUCAUGCAGAAAGUCGGCAUGGGCGAGGGCUGACUCCAGUGGGAAUGGUCUCACCGGAACCCCCUUGGAACACAGAGGUGGAGACAGAGACAGGCAGGGAUGGGUCAGUGGGCCCCUCGGACACAGUUCAGCUUCUGACACACUCACGAGCCAACUUUAACACGCUUGCUUGGUUCUCAUAGCACUCAGUCUGGAUGCCAUGGACGGGGGUGGGGGGCACAUCUGCCUCCCCGCCCUCAUCUCAGCACCCUGGCCAUGCGCCCUCUUUUCUGCUCCUCCAACACACUCAGCCUUUUCAACCCCAGGGCCUUUGCACACCCUGCUACUUGAACACCACUUCCCCCAGUUCCUUUCCUCCCAUCCUUCAGGCUUCUGUGCCAGCAGUCCACCCCGAAGGGCUCUUCUCUGACCCAUCACUUCCUCUCUCCUUACUUAUACCAGAUCAUCCCUCUGUCUCCCCUUCGCCCUGCUUUCUUUAGAGGACACUGGAGUCUGUAUCUGCAUGUCCCAUGUCUCCCACACAGAAGACGAUAAUCAUUACGAGGGCAGGGAUUAUCCAUCUUGUUCUCCCCUGUGCCUCCAGCCCAAAGAACAGUACCCAGCACAUAGUAGGUGCUCAGUAAAUAUUUAGCAAAAGAAUGAAUUAAAAUAUCAGUAUAUUCCACACAACUCUGAUCCCUCAUUUUUGGAUUCGGCAAUCUUUCUGGAAGGAAGUAAAAUAAUAUAUAUUCCUGGGUUUAUCUAGACCCAAUAAAAGGGGGAAAAAAAAAAAAGUUCUUAAAUCUCUUGGAAACACCAAACUCCCGACGUAAGCAAAAGAACCUGCAGGUUGAGUUCCAAGAUAUGAGACCUGGCUGGUCACUGAACGUACG
This is a long non-coding RNA of Bos taurus (domestic cattle), 1746 nucleotides long. Lineage: Eukaryota; Metazoa; Chordata; Mammalia; Artiodactyla; Bovidae. The record is from Ensembl.